UAGCCAGGGUCUACUGUGUGCCUGA
RNAcentral lists this non-coding RNA (25 nucleotides) under Mus musculus (house mouse). The record is from RNAcentral. Lineage: Eukaryota; Metazoa; Chordata; Mammalia; Rodentia; Muridae.